This 465-nucleotide ribosomal RNA is filed under the name uncultured Klebsiella sp. RNAcentral's name for it is "bacterial SSU rRNA". It matches the Rfam family "Bacterial small subunit ribosomal RNA", at positions 338 to 795 of the family's 1533-position model. The record is from RNAcentral. Lineage: Bacteria; Pseudomonadati; Pseudomonadota; Gammaproteobacteria; Enterobacterales; Enterobacteriaceae.
ACUACGGGGUGCUGCAGUGGGGAAUAUUGCACAAUGGGCGCAAGCCUGAUGCAGCCAUGCCGCGUGUGUGAAGAAGGCCUUCGGGUUGUAAAGCACUUUCAGCGGGGAGGAAGGCGUUAAGGUUAAUAACCUUGGCGAUUGACGUUACCCGCAGAAGAAGCACCGGCUAACUCCGUGCCAGCAGCCGCGGUAAUACGGAGGGUGCAAGUGUUAAUCGGAAUUACUGGGCGUAAAGCGCACGCAGGCGGUCUGUCAAGUCGGAUGUGAAAUCCCCGGGCUCAACCUGGGAACUGCAUUCGAAACUGGCAGGCUAGAGUCUUGUAGAGGGGGGUAGAAUUCCAGGUGUAGCGGUGAAAUGCGUAGAGAUCUGGAGGAAUACCGGUGGCGAAGGCGGCCCCCUGGACAAAGACUGACGCUCAGGUGCGAAAGCGUGGGGAGCAAACAGGAUUAGAUACCCCAGUAGUC